This 97-nucleotide transfer RNA is filed under the name Nitrososphaerota archaeon. RNAcentral's name for it is "Thaumarchaeota archaeon tRNA-Glu". It matches the Rfam family "tRNA". From Rfam's summary of the family: Transfer RNA (tRNA) molecules are approximately 80 nucleotides in length. Their secondary structure includes four short double-helical elements and three loops (D, anti-codon, and T loops). Further hydrogen bonds mediate the characteristic L-shaped molecular structure. tRNAs have two regions of fundamental functional importance: the anti-codon, which is responsible for specific mRNA codon recognition, and the 3' end, to which the tRNAs corresponding amino acid is attached (by aminoacyl-tRNA synthetases). tRNAs cope with the degeneracy of the genetic code in two manners: having more than one tRNA (with a specific anti-codon) for a particular amino acid; and 'wobble' base-pairing, i.e. permitting non-standard base-pairing at the 3rd anti-codon position. The record is from RNAcentral. Lineage: Archaea; Thermoproteati; Nitrososphaerota.
GCUCCGAUCGUCUAGCUCGGCCAAAGCAUUAUGCAUAACCGGUCAAGGAUAUCGGGUUUUCGACCCGACGACACGGGUUCAAAUCCCGUUCGGAGCA